This 281-nucleotide ribosomal RNA is filed under the name uncultured Pasteurellales bacterium. RNAcentral describes it as "partial 16S ribosomal RNA". It matches the Rfam family "Bacterial small subunit ribosomal RNA", at positions 504 to 785 of the family's 1533-position model. Lineage: Bacteria; Pseudomonadati; Pseudomonadota; Gammaproteobacteria; Pasteurellales. The record is from RNAcentral.
UGUGCCAGCAGCCGCGGUAAUACGGAGGGUGCGAGCGUUAAUCGGAAUAACUGGGCGUAAAGGGCACGCAGGCGGACUUUUAAGUGAGGUGUGAAAGCCCCGGGCUUAACCUGGGAAUUGCAUUUCAGACUGGGAGUCUAGAGUACUUUAGGGAGGGGUAGAAUUCCACGUGUAGCGGUGAAAUGCGUAGAGAUGUGGAGGAAUACCGAAGGCGAAGGCAGCCCCUUGGGAAUGUACUGACGCUCAUGUGCGAAAGCGUGGGGAGCAACAGGAUUAGAUAC